UAGAUGCUCUAAACCGAAGGCACAGAGAGAGUUACCGCACCUCCACUUCCCAUUGCAUUCCUCUUGUGUAAAAAAAAAGUCGAAGUGAAGUGAGCUCCUCUGGUCGGAGAGGAGCAGAGCAGAGAUGGCCGGAGCCGGGGAAGACGAAGCAGCUCCUCCUCCCCAUCCCCCUUCUCUAGAUCGACAGCAGCCCAUGGAAGAGGCGCUGGCGGCGGCCAAGAGGAGAAGGUCGGAGCACUACCACGGCGUCGCCGACGGGCCGUCCUUCCGCAUGGAGGACCUUCCGGCGGAGGUUCAGCCGGUUAUAAUCUCACUGCUGCCACUGAAAGAGGCCGUGAGGACAAGCAUUGUUUCAAGAAGUUGGAGAAUGCUCUGGAGAUUCCACUGCGAUCUAUGUUUCAAUGAACGCGGUGAUGUGGAUUCUAACACCGAUGACAAUUCCGCUGAUCAGGUUAAUGGCACUGGCACCAAUGACCAAUCCACUAAUCAGUGUGGUACCAAAAUAACACGAGCAAAGUUCAUUGAGACUGUAAAUUCAGUUAUUCAACAGCAUAGUGGGGUAGGAAUCAAUAAGUUCAGCAUCAAGUGUGGCCUGCUCAUCGAGGACUCUGAACAUCUUGACAGGUGGAUUGAGUUUGCCGCUUCAUCAAAGGCAAAAACAAUAGAUUUUGAUUUGAAGAUAUUUGAUUACCCAGUUGAAGAAGUUCCCCAUUUUCCUCUUGAGGCCUUAGAUGCUCAAGGUAGCUCACUUGUGCAGUCCUUGUCUCUUGCCAGUGUUUCUAUAAAGCCAAGCUCAGGAAUAUGCCGCUUUACAAUACUCAGAAGGCUUGUUUUGAAAUCUGUUCAGAUAUUUGGAGAUUUUCCAGGCUUGCUUGCAAAUUGUUCAAGACUUGAGGACUUAGAGAUCAUCAGGUGUUCUGGUGUGGAUGACUUCAUCGUACCAAACAGACUCGAUAAACUUCAAAAUUUGCUGAUUGCUGGAACGGAUGUCCAGAUGGUUGUUAUUCAUGCAGCUGAUCUUGCUCAUUUUGAGUAUGAAGGACGACUGAUCCCUAUAGUGCUUCAUGGUUGCUCAAAAUUAGAGAAGGCAACAAUUGCGUUUGAUCCACUAAUCCUUAUGCACUGGCCCAUGCAUUCAAUAUAAUUACAAGCAUUUCCCCAGUGAAGAUAUUAAUUGUGCGAGCUAUUAUAUCAACAUAUGCACAGUCCCUGGAGCUGCCAUUAAGACCACAGGGCAUGUUUAUGCAUCUGAGGCAUAUGACUUGUCAAAUUGUCGUCUAUUGUAGAGAAUUAAAUGAAGAUAAUGGACUUCUUCAACUGGCCCAUUGGUUGGACGCUGCACCCCGACUGGAGACGUUGCACUUGCAUAUGCACUAUCUGAGUCCCGGUGCUUUCUUCAGUGCCGAGGUGGCGGGGGCGGAAGGUCCCUGUAUGUGUCGCCAUGAUCAUCUUAAGACGGUCUUCAUGGGUGGGUUUCAGUGUUACAAGUCUCAGAUUGAGCUGGCGUGCUCUAUCUUGGGAAAUGCUUUUGUACUUGAGCAGCUGACAAUCGAACCAAGGCUCACAGAAGCAAUAUGGGGUGAUAAGUCUUACCAGUGGAAUAUAGGCCUUGAAAGAAUUUUACCAAGGGUCUGUGAAUGGGCACAGCGAACCUCGAAGCGCUUUGGUAAGGUGAUCACCGUCUUAGAUGCCCCCCUUCACAGUUGGUAUCGCGACGAAUCUGCCGUUUGUUUGGGUGAAUGCCAACCGAGCCCGGUUCCAUCCUCCAGCAAAUUUUGCUGAAUGUUUCGGAUCACCCAGUUCACUGCAUCGACAUCACUUGAAAGAUGGCCAUGAGGAGAGGAAGGAGGGUGAUUGUCGCCGGAUCUGCGCCCUGAGACGAGAACACCAUUGGUGGGUAGGCGGCACUUGUCGGUGGCGACACCUGGUUCCCACUGGGUCCAGGACAAGAGAAAAGUAUCAGUAUUAGCUCAUGAAUGAUGUACAUGCGUGUAUAUCGUUGUUAGAUUGCUGUAGCUAAAUGAACUAUUUCUGCAAGCCCAAGGGAAACUACUGACGCUACCAUGUUACUUGUAAACUGACAACUCGCGCACACAUUGCGGCCAAUUUGAGCAUGAGCAGAGAGCAUCUCAAGGAGAGUACCCCUAUCCCACCUCCAAAAUUUAGAAAACUGCCAAUAACUCAACUUUGCUGCUCGAAUAGAUU
This is an RNA transcript of Triticum aestivum (bread wheat), 2205 nucleotides long. It is a transcript of the gene named F-box/LRR-repeat protein At3g59200, with no coding region annotated. The transcript is spliced from 6 exons. The record is from RefSeq and is a predicted model, not a curated record. Lineage: Eukaryota; Viridiplantae; Streptophyta; Magnoliopsida; Poales; Poaceae.